GACGAACGCUGGCGGCGUGCUUAACACAUGCAAGUCGAACGGAAAGGCCCUGCUUUUGUGGGGUGCUCGAGUGGCGAACGGGUGGGUAACACGUGAGUAACCUGCCCUUGACUUUGGGAUAACUUCAGGAAACUGGGGCUAAUAACGGAUAGGAGCUCCUGCUGCAUGGUGGGGGUUGGAAAGUUUCGGCGGUUGGGGAUGGACUCGCGGCUUAUCAGCUUGUUGGUGGGGUAGUGGCUUACCAAGGCUUUGACGGGUAGCCGGCCUGAGAGGGUGACCGGCCACAUUGGGACUGAGAUACGGCCCAGACUCCUACGGGAGGCAGCAGUGGGGAAUAUUGCACAAUGGGCGGAAGCCUGAUGCAGCAACGCCGCGUGCGGGAUGACGGCCUUCGGGUUGUAAACCGCUUUCGCCUGUGACGAAGCGUGAGUGACGGUAAUGGGUAAAGAAGCACCGGCUAACUACGUG
RNAcentral lists this ribosomal RNA (468 nucleotides) under uncultured bacterium. RNAcentral describes it as "partial 16S ribosomal RNA". It matches the Rfam family "Bacterial small subunit ribosomal RNA", at positions 28 to 507 of the family's 1533-position model. The record is from RNAcentral.